UUUUUGAUAAAGUUUUUGUGAUU
Molecule: small nuclear RNA, 23 nt
Filed under: Arabidopsis thaliana (thale cress)
Lineage: Eukaryota; Viridiplantae; Streptophyta; Magnoliopsida; Brassicales; Brassicaceae
Description: snRNA_03609
Source: RNAcentral